UGAACGCUGGCGGAGGCCUAACACAUGCAAGUCGAAGCGGCAUGAACGAGGAGCAUUCGUCUGCCUCUGCAUUGUCAUCGGGCGRGUACGGGUGCAGUAUUGCGCGUAAUGCAAUCUGCCUSUGAUCAUUUGUGUGCGGACAGCGGUAUCACUAUAAGGCGCUUAAUACCGCAACACGUCCGAACGAGCGUAAGCAAGAGUGGGGGAUCGUCACGCACCACCUUUCAAUUGCCUAGGUCGGUUUGCUUUUCGNGGAGGGGCUCACCCGGCACGUCCAUAUCUGUCUGAGAUAGAUCANUCACACUGCAACUGNGACACGGUCAAGCNCAUACUAGCAGGUAGGNANUAUUANUCUGGGGCCUAAUCCAGAUACCGUGUGUGANGAUGGUCNUNGGCCUUUAAUNCACUUUACUUUNGAGAAGCAUUCGUUUACCUUGCCGUUUUUGNCGUUGCCGAUAAAUAAGCACGGCUAAACUCUUCAGUAGCAGCGGGUA
This 494-nucleotide ribosomal RNA is filed under the name Stutzerimonas stutzeri. RNAcentral describes it as "Pseudomonas stutzeri partial 16S ribosomal RNA". Lineage: Bacteria; Pseudomonadati; Pseudomonadota; Gammaproteobacteria; Pseudomonadales; Pseudomonadaceae. The record is from RNAcentral.